This 253-nucleotide ribosomal RNA is filed under the name uncultured bacterium. RNAcentral's name for it is "partial 16S ribosomal RNA". It matches the Rfam family "Bacterial small subunit ribosomal RNA", at positions 524 to 776 of the family's 1533-position model. The record is from RNAcentral.
UACGUAGGUUGCAAGCGUUGUCCGGAAUUAUUGGGCGUAAAGCGCGCGCAGGUGGUUCCUUAAGUCUGAUGUGAAAGCCCACGGCUCAACCGUGGAGGGUCAUUGGAAACUGGGGAACUUGAGUGCAGAAGAGGAAAGUGGAAUUCCAAGUGUAGCGGUGAAAUGCGUAGAGAUUUGGAGGAACACCAGUGGCGAAGGCGGCUCGCUGGACAGUGACUGACACUGAACUACGAAAGCGUGGGGAGCAAACAGG